RNAcentral lists this long non-coding RNA (2414 nucleotides) under Cricetulus griseus (Chinese hamster). Its description in RNAcentral is "lncRNA (ENSCGRG00015017462.2)". Lineage: Eukaryota; Metazoa; Chordata; Mammalia; Rodentia; Cricetidae. The record is from RNAcentral.
GUAACACACCUAUGUCUAAAGCUUGGAAGGUGAUGAAAACUGUUGUGAAAAACUGCAACAAAACGAAGUCAAAAAAACGAACUAACAGUUAGAUACUGUUUGAAGGUACUAGAACGAUGGUAAAUAUCCAAAAUGAAUGGAGAGGGGGAUGGAUGAAGCAAUGUGUUAGAGUCAGGCAACCAGGACGGGGCCAGCUGGAAAUAAGAGGGGGACUUGGGAUCUUAUUUGGAAUGAAGCUUCUGGAAGGUUUUUGGAGAGUUAGGAUCUGAUUUAGGUUUUAUGGAGCCAUUUCUAAUGGCCUUGCCGAGAACACAGUAAGGCAAGGCCGGCAUCAGGAACGGUGGAGAGGCUUUAAUUGUGGAGGUGGCAGCUGCCAGAGGUGGGACAGGGUGCCCCCGAGAGGCAAAGUCACUGUUUGCACCUGGCUCCACAUGCUAAGACAAGUUACUGAUAGUACUCACAGGCUAGAGAGACCACUCAAGCAGCCCUGACCACUCUUCCAGAGGACCCAGGUUCACCUGGCGCACCCACAUGGCAGCUCACAAGCGUCUGUAACUCCAGCAUCAUGGGUUUCGACUCCCUCUCUGGAUUCCAUGGGCACUGUGGAAGUACCCAGGCUCCUCCUGGAAAGCAGAACGGUGAUGCCAGGAUGACCAAAUCAAAACCUUUGUUUGCAGAUCUUUGCAUGAAACAAAGUCCUGGAGUUGUAGCAACUCAUAAAUAACCUUGCUGAAGCCUUCAACUGGUGACCCAGCAGCUUCCAGCUUGUCAAUAGAUGUGAUUGAGUGUAAAGCCUCUUGGCAGCCAUCGUGGAGCUAAGGCAACCCCUGCAGAAGUUACCUCCACAGAGGAUCGACUGCCCACAAUUCCUGGCUGGGGCACCAAAGCCUCAGGAGACAAGCUGAGGCUUUAGACAAACAUCAUACCUUCCCCAAAAUGGUCAUGAAUUGAGGUAAGCCAGAGAGCAUGGUGAGCCUGAGACCUGCUGAUGAAUGGCAGGCUUUCCAGCCAAGAAUAUUACUGGAUCUUUCUUGUCCUGAUUCGGCUUCCUAACUUGACCUUACUUGAAAACAGAAUGGGCUAUUUCGAGGUUGAGAGUGAGGAUUUAUUGCCACGGAAUUUGUGAAUUAGUUUUCUUCUCUAUUGGGACCUGAGCCUUUGGUUCGUCUUCAGUGGGGUUUGACCUUGAACCACAUGCUGCCUGCGCUGCCCUUGACACCGGACCAAGUAUCUAGCUUCAGAAUGGAAGAUUGGAGAGCUUCCUCUGUCUGUCCUGCUGCUUCCUAAAUAGACCCAGAUAGUAACACUGAAAUGGUGAAAACAAGAGUAUUGCUUUUAUCAGCCUUGUGGUUUCCAACCAAAGCCAACGAUACAUGGGAAAAGGGAAUGUGGAAAAGCUCAUGACUGUACUCAACCAACAAAGCCAAGCUCACAUACUCUUGUAUGACCUGCCGGUGUAAGCCAAGCAAACCUUUCCUUCCCUCAGCUGCCUUUGGUCCAGGCAUUUUUCUAACUGUGAACUUCAUAUUUCGUUUAUAUUGCUAACUCCGAUUUAAGAAAUGACAUCAGUUUAAGUAAUGUGAUCAGAAAGAAAGCUUUUCUAUGCGAGAUCAAUCUAGUCAACACUCCAGCUUGGACUGAGAGGGGCUCAUGAGCUCUUGCCCCUAGCUGAGGAGCUGGUGACAGUUUGUGGCCUCUGGGGGACAUUAUCUUAAGAGCAUAACCCAUGGUAGGUCAACCUAUGCUCCAGUGAUAUAUUGUUUAUGAUUUAAUAAAGCUUGCUUGGGGAUCAGAAUGCAAAGCUAGCCACACUAGUUAGCCAUAGAUGCCAGGCUAUGGCGGCACACACCUUUAAUUCUAGGACUCAGGAGACAGAGGCAGAUGGAUCUCUGUGAGUCUAAGCCACCCUGGGCUAUACAAGAAUAAGUCAGUCUGAAAGAGUAACAGAGCUCAUGCCUUUAAUCCCAGCACUAGAGAGGUAUAUAAGCAAGAGGUAAAGGGUCUCAUGUGAGAUUCAGUUUCCAGUCACAGGGAAGACAGGAUCUCCAUUUCAGUCUUGGUAGAGGUAAGAGCUACUGGCUGGCUGCUCUGCUUCUCUGAUCUUUAGCUUGAACUCCAAUACCUGGGUUUUUACUAUUCAUGCUACAGAAUGGUCCCAUACUCAUGAGUGUAAGAGCUGCACAAACUGGAUUGGUUACUUACACACACACACACACACACACACACACACACACACACACACACACACACUCUAAACCAAAGAGGACACAAAUUUGGAAAGGGGUGAGGGUUGGGGAUUGGAUCUGAGAGGAGUGAAUAUGAUCAUAUAUAUUAUAUUAUGAAAUUCUCAAUGCAAUAAUAAAAAUAUUGUAUUCUUUAAAUGAGCUGCAAUCAUUUUCCAGAUGAACAGGCUG